CAACUACACCGGGUAACCGCGGGCACACUCUUCUCCCCAGGGGAGGAGGCGCCGAAAGGCAGUGUCUGAGGAAAGUCCGAGCUCCGCAGGGCAGGGUGCUGGAUAACGUCCAGUGGGGGCGACCCUAAGGAAAGUGCCACAGAAAAGAAGACGCCGAAUGGCAGUCCAGUCUCUGACCGGUCUGUUUCAUGGCAAAGCUGAAAAGGUGCGGUAAGAGCGCACCAGCGGCUGAGUAAUCAGUCGGCUUGGUAAACCCCACCCGGAGCAAGACCGAAUAGGAGGGAGUGUACACCUUAGUGUGUACACGAAGACGGCCCGUCUUUCCCUCGGGUACGGUCGCACGAGACGGCAGGUGACUGCCGUACCAGAUAAAUGGUUACCAGCGGCUAUGUUGCGCAUAGCCGUUACAGAACUCGGCUUAUAGGUGUAGUUGGGGU
RNAcentral lists this RNase P RNA (437 nucleotides) under Bacillota bacterium. RNAcentral describes it as "RNase P RNA component class A". It matches the Rfam family "Bacterial RNase P class A". From Rfam's summary of the family: Ribonuclease P (RNase P) is a ubiquitous endoribonuclease, found in archaea, bacteria and eukarya as well as chloroplasts and mitochondria. Its best characterised activity is the generation of mature 5'-ends of tRNAs by cleaving the 5'-leader elements of precursor-tRNAs. The record is from RNAcentral. Lineage: Bacteria; Bacillati; Bacillota.